CUGUUUGGCCCUGUCCGGGGGUAUCAUCGGAUGGGGCCACAGUGUCUCCUGACCCCUCCUGUCUCAGCCUCCAGUAUUUAUGCUGCAGUAGUUUAUGUGUCGGGGGGCUAGGGUCAGUCUGUUACAUCUGGAGUAUUUCUCUUGUCUUAUCCGGUGUCCUGUGUGAAUUUAAAUAUGCUCUCUCUAAUUCUCUCUUUCUCUCUUUCUGUCUUUCUCUCGGAGGACCUGAGCCCUAGGGCCAUGCCUCAGGACUACCUGGUAUGAUGACUCCUUGCUGUCCCCAGUCCACCUGGCCGUGCUGCUGCUCCAGUUUCAACUGUUCUGCCUGCGGCUAUGGAACCCUGACCUGUUCACCGGACGUGCUUGUUGCACCCUCGACAACUACUAUGAUUAUUAUUAUUUGACCAUGCUGGUCAUUUAUGAACAUUUUAACAUUUUAACAUCUUGACCAUGUUCUGUUAUAAUAUCCACCCUGCACAGCCAGAAGAGGACUGGCCACCCCUCAUAGCCUGGUUCCUCUCUAGGUUUCUUCCUAGGUUUUUGGCCUUUCUAGGGAGUUUUUCCUAGGGAGUUUUUCCUAGCCACCGUGCUUCUUUCACAUGCUUUGCUUGCUGUUUGGGGUUUUAGGCUGGGUUUCUG
This 639-nucleotide long non-coding RNA is filed under the name Salmo salar (Atlantic salmon). RNAcentral's name for it is "lncRNA (ENSSSAG00000110545.1)". Lineage: Eukaryota; Metazoa; Chordata; Actinopteri; Salmoniformes; Salmonidae. The record is from RNAcentral.